GACGAACGCUGGCGGCGUGCCUAAUACAUGCAAGUUGAGCGCUGAAGGUUGGUACUUGUACCCACUGGAUGAGCAGCGAACGGGUGAGUAACGCGUGGGGAAUCUGCCUUUGAGCGGGGGACAACAUUUGGAAACGAAUGCUAAUACCGCAUAAAAACUUUAAACACAAGUUUUAAGUUUGAAAGAUGCAAUUGCAUCACUCAAAGAUGAUCCCGCGUUGUAUUAGCUAGUUGGUGAGGUAAAGGCUCACCAAGGCGAUGAUACAUAGCCGACCUGAGAGGGUGAUCGGCCACAGUGGGACUGAGACACGGCCCAAACUCCUACGGGAGGCAGCAGUAGGGAAUCUUCGGCAAUGGACGAAAGUCUGACCGAGCAACGCCGCGUGAGUGAAGAAGGUUGUCGGAUCGUAAAACUCUGUUGGUAGAGAAGAACGUUGGUGAGAGUGGAAAGCUCAUCAAGUGACGGUAACUACCCAGAAAGGGACGGCUAACUACGUG
RNAcentral lists this ribosomal RNA (497 nucleotides) under uncultured bacterium. RNAcentral's name for it is "partial 16S ribosomal RNA". It matches the Rfam family "Bacterial small subunit ribosomal RNA", at positions 28 to 507 of the family's 1533-position model. The record is from RNAcentral.